Molecule: ribosomal RNA, 484 nt
Filed under: uncultured bacterium
Lineage: Bacteria
Description: partial 16S ribosomal RNA
Rfam family: Bacterial small subunit ribosomal RNA
Source: RNAcentral
GACGAACGCUGGCGGCGUGCUUAACACAUGCAAGUCGAACGAUGAAGCCGGAGCUUGCUCUGGUGAAUUAGUGGCGAACGGGUGAGUAACACGUGAGUAACCUGCCCUUGACUCUGGGAUAACUGCUAGAAAUGGUAGCUAAUACCGGAUACGACCCUCGGAGGCAUCGCCAGGGGGUGGAAAGAAUUUCGGUCAAGGAUGGACUCGCGGCCUAUCAGCUAGUUGGUGAGGUAACGGCUCACCAAGGCGACGACGGGUAGCCGGCCUGCGAGGGGGACCGGCCAGACUGGGACUGAGACACGGCCCAGACUCCUACGGGAGGCAGGAGUGGGGAAUAUUGCACAAUGGGCGCAAGCCUGAUGCAGCAACGCCGCGUGAGGGAUGACGGCCUUCGGGUUGUAAACCUCUUUUAGUAGGGAAGAAGCGAAAGUGACGGUACCUGCAGAAAAAGCACCGGCUAACUACGUGCCAGCCGCCGCGGUAA